This 709-nucleotide ribosomal RNA is filed under the name Streptomyces paradoxus. RNAcentral's name for it is "bacterial SSU rRNA". It matches the Rfam family "Bacterial small subunit ribosomal RNA", at positions 62 to 788 of the family's 1533-position model. The record is from RNAcentral. Lineage: Bacteria; Bacillati; Actinomycetota; Actinomycetes; Kitasatosporales; Streptomycetaceae.
UCGACGAUGAACCACUUCGGUGGGGAUUAGUGGCGAACGGGUGAGUAACACGUGGGCAAUCUGCCCUGCACUCUGGGACAAGCCCUGGAAACGGGGUCUAAUACCGGAUACUGAUCCUCUUGGGCAUCCAAGGUGUUCGAAAGCUCCGGCGGUGCAGGAUGAGCCCGCGGCCUAUCAGCUUGUUGGUGAGGUAAUGGCUCACCAAGGCGACGACGGGUAGCCGGCCUGAGAGGGCGACCGGCCACACUGGGACUGAGACACGGCCCAGACUCCUACGGGAGGCAGCAGUGGGGAAUAUUGCACAAUGGGCGAAAGCCUGAUGCAGCGACGCCGCGUGAGGGAUGACGGCCUUCGGGUUGUAAACCUCUUUCAGCAGGGAAGAAGCGAAAGUGACGGUACCUGCAGAAGAAGCGCCGGCUAACUACGUGCCAGCAGCCGCGGUAAUACGUAGGGCGCGAGCGUUGUCCGGAAUUAUUGGGCGUAAAGAGCUCGUAGGCGGCUUGUCACGUCGGUUGUGAAAGCCCGGGGCUUAACCCCGGGUCUGCAGUCGAUACGGGCAGGCUAGAGUUCGGUAGGGGAGAUCGGAAUUCCUGGUGUAGCGGUGAAAUGCGCAGAUAUCAGGAGGAACACCGGUGGCGAAGGCGGAUCUCUGGGCCGAUACUGACGCUGAGGAGCGAAAGCGUGGGGAGCGAACAGGAUUAGAUACCCU